Molecule: ribosomal RNA, 463 nt
Filed under: uncultured bacterium
Lineage: Bacteria
Description: bacterial SSU rRNA
Rfam family: Bacterial small subunit ribosomal RNA
Source: RNAcentral
GAUGAACGCUGGCGGCGUGCCUAACACAUGCAAGUCGAACGCUCGCAAGAGAGUGGCGCACGGGUGAGUAACACGUAGCUAAUCUGCCCUCAAGACAAGGAUAACUGUAGGAAACUACUGCUAAUACUUGAUAAGCUUACGGACUGUAGAGGUCUAUAAGAAAAGAUUUAUCGCUUGAGGAUGAGGCUGCGCGCCAUCAGCUAGUUGGUAAGGUAAUGGCUUACCAAGGCGACGACGGCUAGGGGACCUGAGAGGGUGACCCCCCACACUGGGACUGAGACACGGCCCAGACUCCUACGGGAGGCAGCAGUGAGGAAUAUUGCUCAAUGGGCGCAAGCCUGAAGCAGCGACGCCGCGUGGAUGAAGAAGGUUUUCGGACUGUAAAAUCCUUUCUGUGUGACGAGAGUGGACGGUAGCACAGGAAUAAGUCUCGGCUAAACUACGUGCCAGCAGCCGCGGUAAU